UACGGAGGGUGCAAGCGUUAAUCGGAAUUAUUGGGCGUAAAGGGUGCGUAGGCUGGAGUAUAAGUCAGAUGUGAAAUUCCAUGGCUCAACCAUGGAGCUGCAUUUGAAACUAUACUUCUAGAGGGAGAGCGGAGAAAACGGAAUUCCACGUGUAGCGGUGAAAUGCGUAGAUAUGUGGAAGAACACCUGUGGCGAAAGCGGUUUUCUAGCUCUUACCAGACGCUGAGGCACGAAAGCAAGGGGAGCAAACAGG
RNAcentral lists this ribosomal RNA (253 nucleotides) under uncultured bacterium. RNAcentral's name for it is "partial 16S ribosomal RNA". It matches the Rfam family "Bacterial small subunit ribosomal RNA", at positions 524 to 776 of the family's 1533-position model. The record is from RNAcentral.